GGUUCUUGAUCUCCCUUCUGUUUGGAAAGGCUGUGCCCACUCCAGGAAAAGGCUGUUUUACCCGUGUCCAUCCUCCCAGCAGUCCUGGCCACAGACCAGGCUCCACAGAGCGCAGGCCGUCAUUUCACACCCUGUCAUUUCUUGCAGGAUCCCUGUCCAAGGCCCUAGUGCCCUAGACCACCUGCUCAUGUUCAGUGACUUCCUGAACUAGCCCUUGCGCCUCACGCCUCUCGGAGCGCUCUUCAUGGACUGUGAGCCCUGGAGGGCUUCCUCUUACCUUGCAGUCCAUAGCCUGGUCCAGAGCAGUGCCUGGUGGCACCUCAGAGCGGACAGCCUUAGCAGGAGCCAUUCACCACACCCUGCCCAGGCCUCUUCCUGUCCCGGUGGGGACCACACUUUCCUCGUGGCCCACAGUGACUCACUGCACUUGGACCCUGGCCUCACGUCAGAAUGUGACAACAGUCCUUCCUUUGCAUUUCUUGAUGAGGAGUACUGUGCAAAACGUGGGCAGAUCUCCAUUUCCCACAGACCAGCUGUCGACCAGAAAGCAGCCUGGGUGCUGCUGCAUCUGUGUUCUUCUGACUGCUCGUGCUCAGCCCCGAGCCCAGAGCCGUCUCUGACCAUGCACUUGCAUUGGCUUCUCUCCCUUAGUGCUGGGCUUGGAAACUGAUCCUAAUCCCAAAUUCCCUGCAGACCCCUGCUUCUGCAGUCCCCACCUUCCCUCUUCUCCUCCCCCCCCCACCCCGCCCCACUGGGGAGGUAUUGUGGUGGUUCUCGCUCUCGCGUCCUCCAGAGCAGCACAGGCCCGGCAACACCUUCUUGCUGCCUGGGGAGAGACAUGCAGUUCCAAACCUGUCUUUGCAAAUAAGCUCCCCUUUGCUUGAUCCUUGCUAGGAAAUCUAAACUCAGAUUAUUUUCUGAAAUGAUCUAUUUCUAUUAAUGGAUCUUCAAAACUAAGAAUUUCCAUUCAGUGCCUUCUAUAAGGAGUUCAUGCUUGAGUGGCCCAUUUUCACAUGCUGAUGUCUUUUCAAACUGAGGAAACCGUGGAUCAAAAUAUGAUCUUUGCCUUUGACAUUUUAGCCAGUGAGCUCAUCUCUUCUGUGUUCGGAGUCAGAAAGCUCGGCUGGGGCUUUCCUGAGCAGAGGAUGUAUAACCGUUUCCUGGAGAGUAAUUCACACUCAAGCCCUUUCCAAUGAACCUCUCUUCAUAUGCAUGUUUUAAAGAUUGAUCAGUUCCUACAGCAGCCUCCCACCUGAGCAGACCAGCAGAGUCCCUACUCAGGGUACAAGGCAGCCCUGUAGUGGUUCAUGGAGACCUGUUAGGCAGCAGGUCCCAUUCCCUCAAGAAGUCCUCUCUUUGCAUCAGAUGACACGUGAAGUUUUCUGGGAGUUUUCCUCUUGUCAUUUCCAUCACUGAAUUUUUUUAGUUGGCCAUUAACAGGAUACUCUUUACUAUACAAGAUGAAUCUCACCAGGUGUACCCUAGGUCUUGGACCCUCAAAGCUCUUUGACUUCCUGAGUUAACAUUGUGCUUAGUUCUUAUCUGUAGCAACGGAUGUGCAAUAGUUUAAUAAGAAAUCAAUAAUUUUGUGUCUGAUUGUGUACGGUAUGUAAAUUGAAAACAUAU
This 1626-nucleotide long non-coding RNA is filed under the name Marmota monax (woodchuck). The record is from RNAcentral. Lineage: Eukaryota; Metazoa; Chordata; Mammalia; Rodentia; Sciuridae.